UACGGGGGGGUGCAAGCGUUGUCCGGAAUUAUUGGGCGUAAAGAGCUCGUAGGCGGCCUGUUGCGUCCGCUGUGAAAUCCCAGGGCUCAACCCUGGGCGUGCAGUGGAUACGGGCAGGCUGGAGGCAGGCAGGGGAGAACGGAAUUCCCGAUGUAGCGGUGAAAUGCGCAGAUAUCGGGAGGAACACCGGUGGCGAAGGCGGUUCUCUGGGCCUGUACUGACGCUGAGGAGCGAAAGCGUGGGGAGCAAACAGG
Molecule: ribosomal RNA, 254 nt
Filed under: uncultured bacterium
Lineage: Bacteria
Description: partial 16S ribosomal RNA
Rfam family: Bacterial small subunit ribosomal RNA
Source: RNAcentral